AUUGAACGCUGGCGGCAGGCCUAAUACAUGCAAAGUCGAACGGUAACAUAAAGAAGCUUGCUUCUUUGAUGACGAGUGGCGGACGGGUGAGUAAUAUUUGGGAAACUACCUGAUAGAGGGGGACAACAGUUGGAAACGACUGCUAAUACCGCAUACAGCCUCAGGGUGAAAGAAGCGAUUCGCUAUCAGAUGUGCCCAAACGGGAUUAGCUAGUAGGUGAGGUAAAGGCUCACCUAGGCGACGAUCUCUAGCUGGUCUGAGAGGAUGAUCAGCCACAUUGGGACUGAGACACGGCCCAGACUCCUACGGGAGGCAGCAGUGAGGGAUAUUGGGCAAUGGGGGAAACCCUGACCCAGCAACGCCGCGUGAAGGAUGAAGGUUUUCGGAUUGUAAACUUCUUUUAUUAAGGACGAAUAAUGACGGUACUUAAUGAAUAAGCUCCGGCUAACUACGUG
RNAcentral lists this ribosomal RNA (455 nucleotides) under uncultured bacterium. Its description in RNAcentral is "bacterial SSU rRNA". It matches the Rfam family "Bacterial small subunit ribosomal RNA", at positions 30 to 507 of the family's 1533-position model. The record is from RNAcentral.